UCAAACGUAGAUAUUGCCAGAAAUGGGAAGCAUUGCCCUAAAAUGUAGAAAUGGGACCUCCAUUACAUUACAUAAUAUUAUCACCCAAUGAGUGCGAACAAGAACCCAAUGGUCAAGUUCUUUGAACAUAAUUAAUAACAACAUGAUAACUAAGGUUAAGCUCUUACGGAUACAUUAGUAUAUUAUUAUAGGUGGAUCAUGGAAACUCCAUAAAGAUGACACAUGGGGAAUUCUGAGGGAUUAUGGAUAUGGAGGAGGAGGAGGAGGAGGGCCCAUUGGACCACCAAAGCAGUCUUGGAACAACCAGCAGCAGCACAAGAAGCUAAGGCUGCAAAUCAAAACACACAACAAAAGUUAUAAGAUGAAUGUGGUUAAGAAUCAAACUCAAAGUUACCACAUGCAAAUAGGACGAGUAAUGAUAUACAAACAGAAAUCUUGUACGGAAAUUAACGUUAUUUGUCUUUUUAUUUUACGAUAAAAUACCCUGACUUAUAGCUUUAAGAUUGCCACUAUCGAUCGUAUCACUCUAGUAUUGAUUUAUGUAAAAAAAAAAUUAUUCGUACUCAAAACUCAAAGAUUUCUUUUUCAAACACCUGACAAGGAAAAACAGACAGAAAAAGGAGUUUGAACAAGGCCGAUCUUGAGAUUUUUGAAGCUCAAAGCAAGCUCUUAACUUGGAGCCCCUAUCCUCUAUGUGAUAAUGCUUGCCUAAUGGAAGUUCUUAUAGUGCUAAGUACAUUAAGAUGUGUUUUUUUGGGACCUAAAGGCGGUGUCUUUGCCAGCCAAUGCCAGGGCGGGGCCUGAGUUUGAACUGCUAGAAGUCUACUUACCAAGCAGACAUGGCAUUGCAGAACCCACCAAAGAGGCCUAGCCCAGGCAGAGGACCCGGGAUCGGCCCACCUGGAGGCGAGCCCCAGCCCAGCGGUCCUCCUGGUCCCAUCGAAAAGCGUAACUCUCUCACAACUCACAAGUAGUAUUAGUCUAUAGUUGCAAAUUAAAAGCCACAAGAAUAGAAUAUCUGUCGCUGUGAAGAGACCCUGGAGCUAUAUAAAGAGAGAUUUAGCUUAGUGUAGAAGCAUCCUAUUUCC
RNAcentral lists this long non-coding RNA (1088 nucleotides) under Actinidia chinensis (golden kiwifruit). RNAcentral describes it as "long non-coding RNA (ACHI_LNC001247)". Lineage: Eukaryota; Viridiplantae; Streptophyta; Magnoliopsida; Ericales; Actinidiaceae. The record is from RNAcentral.